CCAAUAGCGUAUAUUAAAGUUGUUGCAGUUAAAAAGCUCGUAGUUGAAUUUCGGGGUUAGUAGGUUGGUCGUGCCACUGGUAUGUACUGGCCUUACUGAUUCCUCCUUCUUGAAGAACUGUGAUGUCAUUUAUUUGGUGUUGCAGGGAAACAGGACUGUUACUUUGAAAAAAUUAGAGUGUUUAAAGCAGGCUAACGCCUGAAUACAUUAGCAUGGAAUAAUGAAAUAGGACGUUUGAUCCUAUUUUGUUGGUUUCUAGGAUUGACGUAAUGAUUAAUAGGGAUAGUUGGGGGCAUUAGUAUUCAAUUGUCAGAGGUGAAAUUCUUGGAUUUAUUGAAGACUGACUACUGCGAAAGCAUUUGCCAAGGAUGUUUUCAUUAAUCAAGAACGAAAGUUAGGGGAUCGAAGACGAUCAGAUACCGUCGUAGUCUUAACCAUAAACUAUGCCGACUAGGGAUCGGAUGAUGUUAAUUUUUUAAUGACUCAUUCGGCGCCUUACG
Molecule: ribosomal RNA, 500 nt
Filed under: uncultured Glomeromycotina
Lineage: Eukaryota; Fungi; Glomeromycota
Description: partial small subunit ribosomal RNA
Rfam family: Eukaryotic small subunit ribosomal RNA
Source: RNAcentral